RNAcentral lists this ribosomal RNA (169 nucleotides) under uncultured bacterium. RNAcentral's name for it is "partial 16S ribosomal RNA". It matches the Rfam family "Bacterial small subunit ribosomal RNA", at positions 338 to 524 of the family's 1533-position model. The record is from RNAcentral.
CCUACGGGAGGCAGCAGUGGGGAAUCUUAGACAAUGGGCGAAAGCCUGAUCUAGCCAUGCCGCGUGAGUGAAGAAGGCCUUAGGGUCGUAAAGCUCUUUCGCCAGGGAUGAUAAUGACAGUACCUGGUAAAGAAACCCCGGCUAAAUCCGUGCCAGCAGCCGCGGUAAU